This 836-nucleotide ribosomal RNA is filed under the name Seimatosporium botan. RNAcentral's name for it is "partial large subunit ribosomal RNA". It matches the Rfam family "Eukaryotic large subunit ribosomal RNA", at positions 77 to 938 of the family's 3401-position model. The record is from RNAcentral. Lineage: Eukaryota; Fungi; Ascomycota; Sordariomycetes; Amphisphaeriales; Sporocadaceae.
GCCCUAGUAACGGCGAGUGAAGCGGCAACAGCUCAAAUUUGAAAUCUGGCCCUUGGGUCCGAAUUGUAAUUUGUAGAGGAUGUUUUUGGUGCGGUAUCUUCCGAGUUCCUUGGAACAGGACGCCUUAGAGGGUGAGAGCCCCGUACGGUUGAAUGCCUAGCCUUUGUAAAACUCCUUCGACGAGUCGAGUAGUUUGGGAAUGCUGCUCUAAAUGGGAGGUAAAUUUCUUCUAAAGCUAAAUACCGGCCAGAGACCGAUAGCGCACAAGUAGAGUGAUCGAAAGAUGAAAAGCACUUUGAAAAGAGGGUUAAAUAGCACGUGAAAUUGUUGAAAGGGAAGGAUUUAUGACCAGACUUUUUCUAGGCGAAUCAUCCGGUGUUCUCACCGGUGCACUUCGUUUAGUUUAGGCCAGCAUCGAUUUUCGAGGCGGGAUAAAAGCUUCAGGAAUGUGGCUCCCUCGGGAGUGUUAUAGCCUGUUGUAUAAUACCGCCUUGGGGAUCGAGGUACGCGCUUCUGCAAGGAUGCUGGCGUAAUGGUUAUCAAUCACCCGUCUUGAAACACGGACCAAGGAGUCGAACAUUUGUGCGAGUGUUUGGGUGUUAAACCCUCACGCGUAAUGAAAGUGAACGGAGGUGAGAGCCCUUCACGGGGUGCAUCAUCGACCGAUCCUGAUGUCUUCGGAUGGAUUUGAGUAAGAGCAUAAAUGUUCGGACCCGAAAGAUGGUGAACUAUGCGUGGAUAGGGUGAAGCCAGAGGAAACUCUGGUGGAGGCUCGCAGCGGUUCUGACGUGCAAAUCGAUCGUCAAAUCUGCGCAUGGGGGCGAAAGACUAAUCGA